CUUGACUCUAAACAUUCGCAAGAUCUUCUCUGAUAUUGAUCCGGAACUCUUCGAGGAGUGCCUGGUCAAGUUUCAGGAAGAUGAAACACGGGAGAAGGAGACAAAGGUCAAGCGUGAAACCACAUGGAAACGCUUAGANNNNNNNNCAGUGAAGGCUGCGAGUAAUGAGCCAGUACUCGUCUCCCCAAAAAUUAUGCCACGUGCGCCCUCUGGCUAGAUAGUUGGAAACUCUCACCAGUCACUGCUGUUUCUUUGGUUCGGUUGGUGGUUGUUUUGCAAUGCAAGCGAUGGAUGGGGGUGGUGAAUGAAGAGGUGGAUUGUGAAGCUAAUUAUUGAUUUUCUUGCAUAUUCACCUAAACCUUCUUCAGAGUUUUUGGUUUGCCAUCUAAUUAGGACACAAUGUGGGGAAGGCACCAUGAUUGCAGUGGGACGAAAUCGCAUUUUGCUUAAUCCUGGAGGACAGCAUGCAACAGAUAGGAUGGAGAAACAAAUGGUAAGAGAAUAUCUAAAGUUCAGUUCUGUUACUAAAACUGAGCUUGUGCUGUUUAAUGGUUU
Molecule: unclassified non-coding RNA, 555 nt
Filed under: Hevea brasiliensis (rubber tree)
Lineage: Eukaryota; Viridiplantae; Streptophyta; Magnoliopsida; Malpighiales; Euphorbiaceae
Source: RNAcentral